CGCUAGGGCGGGAGCGGCGUGGAGUGGAAGGAGAGCGCUCCUUCCUAUGUGUCCUAGAGCAUUGAUUCCGCUCGUGCGGCGUGCAGGACCCUAUCCUGGAGCCCGCCGCCCCCACCGCUUGCAGGGUGCUUUCAUGCAGCGGAGUUGUAAGUCUGGUUGGUGAAAAGGGACGAGUAGCGGAAAAGUUGAACUUCCAGGCCCGUGGUGGGUUCUUUCCUGGAAGGACUUACUGAUCUGUGUAAAAAGUCCCUAUCUCCUCCCCACCAAUAGUGCACAAUCCCACAAUUGGGAAAGGAGGAAUGUAGACAAAAAGUCCAAAUUUUAGAUUGUUCGGGCCACCUUCUAGAGGGACAUUUACUGGGUGCCUACUUUUUGUAAGCGUUACACCAGGCCUUGGGCCUCGCCCCAUGGGAGUUCUAUUUGGAGUGUGGCUAUAAACAAGGAAAAACUGAACUCCGGGGCUCUGGGUUGACUCCUUCGAAGAAGAUCCUUUAUUGAGUGGCUGUUGUGCGCAGGGCCCUGGCAACUCAAAUAUUAGUGAGGGGGUUGGAACAGGUAAAGAAAAAGUAACUCCUGGGCUUUUAGUGAAUCAUUUAUUCAAGGAGCAUUUAUUGGGCAUCAACUGAAAACAGGGUCAUGUGCUGGGCUAUGUUAUUGUGGGAAUUCACGGUCCAUCGGGAAAGUUGUCUGUUGGGAGAAGUGGCAUGGGCACAGGGAGAGUUAGACUCUCAUGGCCUCACUUCCUAGAAGGAGCAUUAUUCAUUCACAGAAUAUCUACUGAGUACCUGUUGUGGGCUAAUCAUUGUUCUUGGUGCUGGAAAUGUAUCAGUGAUGAAGAGGCUAACUUCCCUGCUCUCUGGGAGCUUAAUAUGAGCAACUUUGCCUGCCUGACUAUGUCUGGCACCAUGGGGCAUGCGUCCGCUUCUGAGUCACAUGUUCAUUGACAACUGAGGCUCCAGCACUGGAUCCAGGCUUGCUGAUUGAUAGAGGCUGGUGAGUGAGGGGACAAGCUGGAAAGCUCCUGAGCUGCCCCCCGCC
RNAcentral lists this long non-coding RNA (1038 nucleotides) under Ursus maritimus (polar bear). RNAcentral's name for it is "lncRNA (ENSUMAG00000002615.1)". Lineage: Eukaryota; Metazoa; Chordata; Mammalia; Carnivora; Ursidae. The record is from RNAcentral.